This 230-nucleotide long non-coding RNA is filed under the name Mytilus galloprovincialis (Mediterranean mussel). Lineage: Eukaryota; Metazoa; Mollusca; Bivalvia; Mytilida; Mytilidae. The record is from RNAcentral.
GGCGUAGCUAGGUAUUCAGUCAACUGUAGGCACCAAUCGGCAGGGGGUCUGGGGGCCGAUUAAGGCCCCCACCAGGUCCAGGACAGAGCCCUUGAAGGGGUUCAGGGGUCGAAGCCCUCGACGGAAAACGGUUUUCAGCGUUUUAGCUGCAAAAUUUUAUGUACAAAAAUAUUAAAUUUACUGGUUAUUUAAUCAUAAUAAUUAUAAUAUACAUGAUGAAAAGCUCGAAG